This is a long non-coding RNA of Rattus norvegicus (Norway rat), 5090 nucleotides long. RefSeq lists it as uncharacterized. The record is from RefSeq and is a predicted model, not a curated record. NCBI's taxonomy places the organism in Eukaryota, Metazoa, Chordata, Mammalia, Rodentia, Muridae.
GAGGCCCAGUUGAUCUGCCUUGUAAAUCAGCCUCCGCCCCCACCCGAAGUGGGGGCUGCUACGGCUGUUUCUGCCCAAGGGGCUGGGCUCCCCUCCUGGGAGUCCCUCCCCACCCCCUGCCUCAGCACUUCCUGCUCUGGGCUUCCCUCUCUGGGCUGCUGUGAAUGGAGGGGCAGGCUAUGAGUUUUGGAAGUGUUGGAACUAGGAUCCCUGUCACAAAGGUAGUCGUCUUUGCUCAGAUUUACCCCAGUGGCUGGACGAAAGUGAUAUAUCAUGAAGGACAGUGGGAGAUGCCGUUACUGAGCCUCGGGCUGAGGGCCCUAGGGAAACCACGGCCUCUUGGUUGUGUGACUAGCAGGAAGCUAGUCAUUAUGGGAAUAUUUGGAGAGAAUUGGGACCAAAUGCAACCUUCUCUGCUGGAGCAACAGCCCAAACCCACAAGGGAGUGCGUGAACUGGAGAGCAUUUGCUAGAUAUCAGCCAGGGUGCAGGAGACAUGCAACAUGUUGUUGGAGCAGGAGAGAAAGCACCGGCAUCCAGAAGCUCUACCUGCAUAAGGGCGGCUCUUAUUCUCUGGGUCCCAGAUGCCAGAAAUAGAGAUGACCUUGGGGCUGGGAGUGUAUGGGGAGGGUCUCCUUUCAGAGAAAACACUUCUAAAGUGGGAGUAUAUCAGGACAAAACUGAGAAAGAAAUUAUCAAUGAUAUGGCCACAACCCAGAAUGCCUCCAUAGACAGUGGUGGUUUGAAUGAGAUUGCCCUCAUGGGUCUGUAUAUUUGCAUGCUUAGUCCUCAGUUGCUGAACUGUUUGGAAGGAUCUGGAGGUAUGUCCUUGUUGGAGUAGGUGUGUCCUUGCUGGAGUGGGUGUGGCCUUGUUGGAGUGGGUGUGGCCCUGCUGGAGUGGGUGUGGCCUUGUUAGAGGAAGUAUGUCCCUGGAGUUGGGUUUAGGUUUCAAAGCCUGUUUCUCUCUCUCUCUCUCUCUCUCUCUCUCUCUCUCUCUCUCUCUCUCUCUCUCUCUCUCUCUCUCUCUCUCUCUCUCUCUCUCUCUCUCCCCCUUCUCUCUUCCUGCCAAUCUGUGGAUCAUGUAGUAAAACUCUCAGCUACUGCUCUAGCACCAUGCUCCCACCAUGAUGAUAAUGGACUAAACCUCUAAAACUGUAAGAAAGUCCCCAAUUAAAUGAUUUCCUUUGUAAGAGUUGCCUUGGUUAUGGUGUCUCUUCACAGCAAUGGAAUAGUAACUUAAACAGGGGGCUCUGGGGCUGGGAUGUCCGUGCGAAGCGACCCUCUACUGAAUAAAGAGUUCUGUACCUUUGAGAUGGGUCUUGAAGCUGGGUAAGGCAGUUCUGUUUGGCAGCUGAAGGAAGUCUCUAGGGGAAACUCAGUCACCAGCCCCUAGCAGCCAACACUCCCGAGAACUUAGUCCUAAAGACAAGACCAAGGGUCCACCUGCAGCGUCUCCCUUCUCAGAGUAAGUCCCUUCUACAAGGACUAACUCCUUCACAGUGCUGGCAUUUUCCUCUGGGAAACUUACAACAUUUAAAUGGAUGAGCUAAUGGUCCCACCACCACAGUCAACCUUAGUGUCACAACAGAUAUUUCUUUCCCAUCUCUGUCCUCUAUUGUCCAUUUCGAGUUUUUACCUUCAGUGUGACUGCUGCCUGUCUAGAUGGGUUACCUUUCCAACCAUGCAUAUACCUAGCUUGCAUCAAAAUCAGGCAAGGGCAUACCAAGAGGCAGCACGGUGGAUCCCCCGGAUGCCAAGUACAGUUUCCUUACUCUGUUACAUGAUGGCAGUCUGCUGGAAGUGGUGCACAUGCCUCUGAUCUCUGUAAGUUCGAGGCCAGCCUGAUCUAUAGAGCAAGUUCAGGGCAGCCAGAGCUACAGAGAGAAACCCUAUCUCUAAUAACCAAACCAAAACAAACCACAACCCCACACAAUGGUAGUCCUUUCUUCCAAAGCACAAGGGUCAGUUACACCUGCCAGUAAGUGACUCCUGAUCUUGCUUACUGAUUGAUUUCUACAAGGAUUCUGGAUAGAAAGCAGCACAUUUUAUAGGGGUGCUAUUCUAUUCCUUUGGGGGAACUCUUCCUCACUCUGAAGCCAAGUUCUGAACCCUGGGGGUUCCUACUUAGAACUGAAGGAACACAGGGAAUGGUAGGUAAAUGACGUCAGUCUUAUUUCCAUCUCUGGUUUCUUAAGAUUUUAUGCUGGGCCAUGGUAGCAUAUAAUAGAUAUUAAUUAGGGUGUACACAUCCUCUGGAUUGCAGAGGCCCAUCUUCUUAGCACUUUAACUGCACUCCAGAGAGGCUGGCCCAUUCUUGUCUCAGCUCUGUGCAAUCUGUAGCCUCAGAGGAGUGAGUUGUCCAAGAGGCCAGAAGACUCUGUGAUCAUCCACCUUCUUUUGCUAUAGAGCACCAUUCUGUGAGACCCCUUGUCAGCAAGUGAAUAAUUUCUUUUUUUUUUCCUUUUUUUUUUUUUUUUUGGAGCUGGGGACCGAACCCAGGGCCUUGCACUUGCUAGGCAAGCGCUCUACCACUGAGCUAAAUCCCCAACCCCAAGUGAAUGCUUUCUAAGCAUCCCAGAAGUGAUCUGAAUUUCAGGUGGAAAGCCAACCCCAUAUCCAGAAAACAUUCCAGUUUGAGUCAAGUGACACACCAGUGCUUCUAGAGCAAAACAGGUGCAACAAUCAACUUGUUACCUCAUGGCCAUUUGGUUCUGGAAGGUAGUAGAUAAGUCUGUUUUGCUGUGUGUUGUGACAGCAUUGUGGCUCCCAUCCAGACAGACCACACCAGGCCAAUGCAGCUCCAUGCACGAGAGGUUUAUAGUGAGGGAAGGGAACAAAGGGGGCGGGCGGCAGAGACAAAGGGGGAAAAGAGAGAAGAAGGGGCAAAGGUCAGAAAGGGUCUGUCUUUUAUUUAGGCUGCGAUGUGACAUCACCGCUCGCUGGUAAAGUGGGAGGUAAACCAAAUGGAUGCUGGGAGUGUAUGGCAUUGUCGUGGCAACAGAUGCAUAGGUCCCUAUCGACUAUGAGUGAUGUCACCAUCAUCGCUGGGUUCAGAGGUGAACUGUAAAGCCGGAUCCUGGUGCCAACAGUAUGGGAGUCCAUUCUGGUGGACCACCCCUACCAUCGCUUACAAGCCUGUACAUAACCUCCAUCUAGGCCAACAGGGCUGUUCAUAUGACUGCUGAGUCAGACAUGGAGGUCAUUCUAUCUACUUGGUUGUUGAAUAUCUCCUUUGUGGUGGGUUCUUCUGAGCGGACAUUAACAUUACGCACUUUCCCAUUUCAUACCUGUCUCCACAGAUGGACGCCUCCCCAAUCCCUAGACUUCCUUGCUCUUCAUCUGCAUUUGCUGCGGCUCCUGUGCCUGAACAGACACUCAGGGUAGGCCUCUAUACUGGAUGGCCGUGAUGAUGAUGUAAUCUCCUGUCAGGUAGCAGCAUUACUUGGAUGCUGUGUCUAGCAUUUAGCUUUCCUGCUUGCCCCAGUAUUCAAGUAUUCAGUGUUCAAACAGUGAUGGGUACCUCCGAAGAAGUGGGGAAAUCAUGAUAGCAUUGUCAGAGUGCUUUGGGAGAGCCUUCCUCUUGGAAAGGGGACCUCUAAGCCAAUGUUUCAGUCAGUGCUGUAUUGCUGUGGAAAGGCACCGUGACCACAACAAUCUUCCAGAGAGGGAGCAUUUAAUCGGGGCUGGCUCACAGUCUCUGUGGUUUAGUCCAUUGUUAUCCUGAUGGGAGCAUGGUGGCAUGCACAGGAUAGCUAAUCUGCUGACCUGUUCUCAUUCUUUGACUUGUUCUGUCUUUACCUGUCUCUGUAAAACACAGGGAGCACACUGUGAACCCUGAGAUUGUAUUAUUUACUGAAGAAGGAAAAAAAACCCUGUUUCUAGUUGUGGUGUGGUUCACCUUUAGCACACGCCUUUAAUCCCUCUGCUGGAAUAAGAUGUGCCCUAGUAUACACAUUUAAUCCCCACAACGAAGGUAAAGUCAGUUUGUAGAAGGAAGCGCCUGUGUUUGAAAGUGAUGUCUGAUUGAGUGGACAGACAAACUGACGAAUCAGAGGAAGAUUUGACAGAAUAGGAUCUUCCCAACUCUCAUGAGAAGACAGAGGAAAGGGAUGUUACUUAAGAGAAUGGUGCAGAGAAAGGAAGGAGGGAGGAGGUGGCUUUACCAGGAAAGUUUUACAGAGACAGGUGAAGACAGAACAAGCUAGAGAAUGAGAAGGAGCCAGAAGAUUAGAACAUACUGUCAGUUAGUAUGAAGCCAAGCAGAGCAAUUCAGGAGAGGCCAAAAGAAAGAAGCCAGAUUGAGUCAAGUCAGUGUGGAGAGGAACCCCGACGGCUGAGCUGAACCAGUCAGCCAGAGUUCAGAAAGAGCUGGACAGGGCAAGCUUACUCAGCAGUAAGUCUCAGAGGCUGAAAACAUUAUAGGCCUAGAUAAGAGUGUAGGAGACUAGAAGCUUCCAGGACUAAGCCUAAGUUAGCAGAUGGAUGCAGUAGGCCUUGGGGAAGACAAUUACUUCAGGAAAAUAAAAGUUACUUUUAUAGCGGCAGGCAAGCAGACAUGGUGCUGGACAAGUAGCUGAGAGUUCUCUCUGCACCCAAAUCCCGUGGGAGGGAGAGCUAAACCUUCAGAGAGGCAGACAAGCCUGGGAAACCAGAAGAGACUGCUCUCUGCACACACAUCUCGGACGCCAGAGGAAAAAGCCAAAGACCAUCUGGAACCCUGGUGCACUGAAGUUCCCGGAAGGGGCGGCACAGGUCUUCCUGGUUGCUGCCGCUGCAGAGAGCCCGUGGGCAGCACCCCACGAGCGAACUUGAGCCUCGGGACCACAGGUAAGACCAACUUUUCUACUGCAAGAAAGCUGCCUGGUGAACUCAAGACACAGGCCCACAGGAACAGCUGAAGACCUGUAGAGAGGAAAAACUACACGCCCGAAAGCAGAACACUCUGUCCUCAUAACUGACUGAAAGAGAGGAAAACAGGUCUACAGCACUCCUGACACACAGGCUUAUAGGACAGUCUAGCCACUGUCAGAAAUAGCAGAACAAAGUAACACUAGAGAUAAUCUGAUGGCGAGAGGCAAGCGCAGGAACCCA